Cavia porcellus (domestic guinea pig) is the source of this 118-nucleotide ribosomal RNA. The record is from Ensembl. NCBI's taxonomy places the organism in Eukaryota, Metazoa, Chordata, Mammalia, Rodentia, Caviidae.
GUCUGUGGCCAUACCACCCUGCAGGCACCUGAUCCCAUCUGAUCUCAGAAACUAAGUAAGGUCAGGCCUGGUUAGCAUUGAGUGGGAAAAAUAAAUGUGAAAGGCCUGAAAACAGGCC